This 30-nucleotide non-coding RNA is filed under the name Rattus norvegicus (Norway rat). The record is from RNAcentral. Lineage: Eukaryota; Metazoa; Chordata; Mammalia; Rodentia; Muridae.
AGCUAUGGCUUCACAUCUGUUAGCCUCAUG